This 467-nucleotide ribosomal RNA is filed under the name uncultured bacterium. RNAcentral's name for it is "partial 16S ribosomal RNA". It matches the Rfam family "Bacterial small subunit ribosomal RNA", at positions 28 to 506 of the family's 1533-position model. The record is from RNAcentral.
GACGAACGCUGGCGGCGUGCUUAACACAUGCAAGUCGAACGGAAAGGCCCUGCUUUUGUGGGGUGCUCGAGUGGCGAACGGGUGAGUAACACGUGAGUAACCUGCCCUUGACUUUGGGAUAACUUCAGGAAACUGGGGCUAAUACCGGAUAGGAGCUCCUGCUGCAUGGUGGGGGUUGGAAAGUUUCGGCGGUUGGGGAUGGACUCGCGGCUUAUCAGCUUGUUGGUGGGGUAGUGGCUUACCAAGGCUUUGACGGGUAGCCGGCCUGAGAGGGUGACCGGCCACAUUGGGACUGAGAUACGGCCCAGACUCCUACGGGAGGCAGCAGUGGGGAAUGUUGCACAAUGGGCGGAAGCCUGAUGCAGCAACGCCGCGUGCGGGAUGACGGCCUUCGGGUUGUAAACCGCUUUCGCCUGUGACGAAGCGUGAGGGACGGUAAUGGGUAAAGAAGCACCGGCUAACUACGU